CGAUCUGGCUCAGGAUGAACGCUAGCGGCAGGCUUAACACAUGCAAGUCGAGGGGCAUCGGGAGUAGCAAUACUUGCCGGCGACCGGCGCAAGGGUGCGUAACGCGUGAGCAACAUGCCCGUAUCAGGGGGAUAAUCCAUGGAAACGUGGUCUAAUACCCCAUAGUAAUUAUGUAAGGCAUCUUAUAUAAUUUAAAGCUUUGGUGGAUACGGAUUGGCUCGCGUGACAUUAGCUAGAUGGUAAGGUAACGGCUUACCAUGGCUACGAUGUCUAGGGGUUCUGAGAGGAAGGUCCCCCACACUGGAACUGAGACACGGUCCAGACUCCUACGGGAGGCAGCAGUGAGGAAUAUUGGACAAUGGAUGGAAAUCUGAUCCAGCCAUGCCGCGUGCAGGAAGACGGCCCUAUGGGUUGUAAACUGCUUUUGUAUGGGAGCAAUAAGGGCUACGCGUAGUCCGAUGAGAGUACCAUACGAAUAAGCACCGGCUAACUCCGUGCCAGCCGCCGC
RNAcentral lists this ribosomal RNA (508 nucleotides) under uncultured bacterium. RNAcentral describes it as "bacterial SSU rRNA". It matches the Rfam family "Bacterial small subunit ribosomal RNA", at positions 14 to 518 of the family's 1533-position model. The record is from RNAcentral.